RNAcentral lists this ribosomal RNA (253 nucleotides) under uncultured bacterium. RNAcentral's name for it is "partial 16S ribosomal RNA". It matches the Rfam family "Bacterial small subunit ribosomal RNA", at positions 524 to 776 of the family's 1533-position model. The record is from RNAcentral.
UACGUAGGCAGCGAGCGUUGUUCGGAAUUACUGGGCGUAAAGAGUGUGUAGGCGGUGCUCUAAGUUCGGUGUGAAAUCUCCUGGCUCAACUGGGAGGGUGCGCCGGAAACUGGAGUGCUUGAGCGUGGGAGAGGAAAGCGGAAUUCCUGGUGUAGCGGUGAAAUGCGUAGAUAUCAGGAGGAAUACCGGUGGUGUAGACGGCUCUCUGGACCGCCACUGACGCUGAGACACGAAAGCGUGGGUAGCAAACAGG